This 490-nucleotide ribosomal RNA is filed under the name uncultured bacterium. RNAcentral describes it as "partial 16S ribosomal RNA". It matches the Rfam family "Bacterial small subunit ribosomal RNA", at positions 30 to 507 of the family's 1533-position model. The record is from RNAcentral.
AUUGAACGCUGGCGGCAGGCCUAACACAUGCAAGUCGAACGGUAACAGGAAGAAGCUUGCUUCUUUGCUGACGAGUGGCGGACGGGUGAGUAAUGUCUGGGAAACUGCCUGAUGGAGGGGGAUAACUACUGGAAACGGUAGCUAAUACCGCAUAACGUCGCAAGACCAAAGAGGGGGACCUUCGGGCCUCUUGCCAUCGGAUGUGCCCAGAUGGGAUUAGCUAGUAGGUGGGGUAACGGCUCACCUAGGCGACGAUCCCUAGCUGGUCUGAGAGGAUGACCAGCCACACUGGAACUGAGACACGGUCCAGACUCCUACGGGAGGCAGCAGUGGGGAAUAUUGCACAAUGGGCGCAAGCCUGAUGCAGACAUGCCGCGUGUAUGAAGAAGGCCUUCGGGUUGUAAAGUACUUUCAGCGGGGAGGAAGGGAGUAAAGUUAAUAACUUUGCUCAUUGACGUUACCCGCAGAAGAAGCACCGGCUAACUCCGUG